UUUCUUGGUUUACCAAUCGCAAUGCUUGGUUCACCGUACAUCGUAUCGGAGGACAUCUUGGAUUACUGGGUAGCAGUUCGUGUAUCUACGUGAGAUUGCUACUGCGUAUAACAACGUAGAGUUGCAGUGGUGGCCGAUCGGUGUGCAUAACGGACCGAGAAUAAAUCCGAUAAUAUCGUAUUCGAAUGGACGAUGGUAAAUUGCAUAAUCUCGUUGGUGCAUCUCGGGCGAGCAGCGUCACGUACGCACUGAGAAGGCAGUUUAGCUUAUGUUAGAAGGAGAAUAUUCAAAGCGGCUUGAGUCCGUGAGAACUUUGUAAAGACCUGUAGCCAACGCAGGUGACGACGUCCACUCGCGAGAUCGGCGUAAUUUCAGUGGAGGUAAUUUUCCUCCUGGUGAUUGGUUGAUCGUAUGUGUUUUUUUGUUCCUACGGCGAUGAAGAGAACCAUGGUAGAAGGUAUAGAGGGUUUAUGGUACAAGAUAGUUGUAGUGGCCGCCGCUACUGGCGCUGCCGUCGCUCUCCGUCCUUCCUUCAGUAAACGCAAGUGCAAUGCAACGAGUUCGGUAAUUAUGCAUUCGAUCUUCCGAACGAUUCAUGCGUGGAGUGGAUCGGAUCGGUUCGAUCUUUACUUCUUUUUUUAUCCUUUAUAUACCAAUUAUUUAGUCUUUUUUCUAUUUCACCAUUCCUUUCCCUUUUCAGUAGCGUCAUUACAAGAUGUACGCAUUUACAUAGUACACGUAUAGCUAUAUAUAUCUAAAAAUAAGAGUGUAUAUUUUUUUGGUAUAGUUUAAUCCCGACCUGCUUGUAUUUAUUAGUGCAUUUUUCUAUCUGACAGAAAAAUACACACAAUACUUUCCACAGCCGGUAUUCGCCAUCCUUGCUGUCAAUACCUGUCGAAUAUAAUCAUACACUGCCAGAAAUAUGAUUGGGAAAGCAAUAAGUGUACACUGCGCGCUUUAUACACGGUGAGAAGCUAAAACGGUAGUAGUGUCACGAACAAAUGGAGACCUUGACUGUAUAGUACGGUAUGCUAGAGUAGAGUGGCACGUUCGAAAAAGUGAAAUCUAAAUAUCUAAGAGUCGCACAAGACGUACGAGCAGAUGGAGUGUAGUGCCUGCGAUCGCCACCCAAAGUGAGAGAGAAAACGCGUACACCAAUCUCGAUGGCAGUGGCCGUGUCGAUGGCAGUGGCAGUGGCGAUGCCCAGCCAAGAGAGAAUGUACGCAGUGGGCUAAAGCCCACCUCUUCGCUGCGUGUUUGCUUAGCACUUUUGGCUCGAGAGGAAACAAGGCGUAGGAUGCCUGUCUACCGUGGACUUUACGACUGCUGAAUAAAUUAUCGUACACAAUGAUCUUUGACUCAUUGAAUAGUUUCGUAAACACGUAUAGAGCUACGGGGACGAAACAUCAUCGAAUUAACAUGUAAGAUAAGCUACCAGAGUUUAAUGGGAAAUUGACGGCUGCCCGAGGAACGUUAAGGUAAAGUUGUGCCAUCUUCUUGUACAAGCUUUACGUACCAAUUAACUCCAUGCUAAUUGUUUCUGUACAGAAUACACUAGCGGUGUCAAUAUUUAUUUGUAGAAGGUACCAAAAGCCUCUUUUUACCACCUAUUUUAUGGGAAUGACUUUGUGGUUUGGAUAAGACAUAAAAAUGUACUGUGGCAUUUUGUCUCUUUUUUUCGUCUUCUUCCUUCGUUCGUUG
Molecule: long non-coding RNA, 1701 nt
Organism: Cephus cinctus (wheat stem sawfly)
Lineage: Eukaryota; Metazoa; Arthropoda; Insecta; Hymenoptera; Cephidae
Exons: 4
Source: RefSeq, a predicted model, not a curated record